GGUCUAAUGGGAGCCUAUGUUAUUCGUCAACCGAGUGUCGAGGGGCCACUGGGAUUGUCAUAUGGUGAAGAAUAUGACCAUCCGUUGAUUGUUUUUGAUCGUGGUUUUCGAGUAGACGGUUCGAUUUACAUGAAUUCUACUGGAAAUAAUCCUUCUAUACAUCCUCAAUGGCAACCUGAAUAUUUUGGUGAUGCAAUUAUUGUCAAUGGUAAGGCAUGGCCUUACAUGAGGGUAAAACGAAGGAAGUAUCGUUUUAGGAUCAUCAAUGCAAGUAAUGCAAGGUUCUUUAAGUAUUUCUUCACUAAUAAUAUGACGUUUAUCCACGUGGCAUCCGAUUCAGCUUACCAUGAACGACCCGUGGUACUCCAUGACCUACUAUUAGCUCCAUCAGAAAUAGCUGAUGUGAUUGUUGACUUUUCAAAGUCAAAGUCAAACUCGACCAUCUUAGCCAAUGACGCACCAUACCCU
Molecule: long non-coding RNA, 468 nt
Filed under: Nicotiana tabacum (common tobacco)
Lineage: Eukaryota; Viridiplantae; Streptophyta; Magnoliopsida; Solanales; Solanaceae
Description: long non-coding RNA (NTAB_LNC007512)
Source: RNAcentral